UUUCCGGUUGAUCCCGCCGGACCUGACUGCUAUCGGAUUGAUACUAAGCCAUGCGAGUCAUUGUAGCAAUACAAGGCAGACGGCUCAGUAACGCGUAGUCAACCUAACCUAUGGACGGGAAUAACCUCGGGAAACUGAGAAUAAUGCCCGAUAGAACAUUAUACCUGGAAUGGUUUAUGUUCCAAAUGAUUUAUCGCCGUAGGAUGGGACUGCGGCCUAUCAGUUUGUUGGUGAGGUAAUGGCCCACCAAGACUAUUACAGGUACGGGCUCUGAGAGGAGUAGCCCGGAGAUGGGUACUGAGACACGGACCCAGGCCCUAUGGGGCGCAGCAGGCGAGAAAACUUUGCAAUGUGCGAAAGCACGACAAGGUUAAUCCGAGUGGUUUCUGCUAAAGGAACCUUUUGUCGGUCCUAGAAACACCGAUGAAUAAGGGGUGGGCAAGUUCUGGUGUCAGCCGCCGCGGUAAAACCAGCACCUCAAGUGGUCAGGAUGAUUAUUGGGCCUAAAGCAUCCGUAGCCGGCUCUGUAAGUUUUUCGGUUAAAUCUGUACGCUCAACGUACAGGCUGCCGGGGAAUACUGCAGAGCUAGGGAGUGGGAGAGGUAGACGGUACUCGGUAGGAAGGGGUAAAAUCCUUUGAUCUAUUGAUGACCACCUGUGGCGAAGGCGGUCUACCAGAACACGUCCGACGGAGAGGGAUGAAAGCUGGGGGAGCAAACCGGAUUAGAUACCCGGGUAGUCCCAGCUGUAAACUAUGCAAACUCAGUGAUGCAUUGGCUUGUGGCCAAUGCAGUGCUGCAGGGAAGCCGUUAAGUUUGCCGCCUGGGAAGUACGUACGCAAGUAUGAAACUUAAAGGAAUUGGCGGGGGAGCACCACAAGGGGUGAAGCCUGCGGUUCAAUUGGAGUCAACGCCAGAAAUCUUACCCGGAGAGACAGCAGAAUGAAGGUCAAGCUGAAGACUUUACCAGACAAGCUGAGAGGUGGUGCAUGGCCGUCGCCAGCUCGUGCCGUGAGAUGUCCUGUUAAGUCAGGUAACGAGCGAGAUCCCUGCCUCUAGUUGCCACCAUUACUCUCAGGAGUAGUGGGGCGAAUUAGCGGGACCGCCGCAGUUAAUGCGGAGGAAGGAAGGGGCCACGGCAGGUCAGUAUGCCCCGAAACUCUGGGGCCACACGCGGGCUGC
RNAcentral lists this ribosomal RNA (1181 nucleotides) under uncultured archaeon. RNAcentral's name for it is "bacterial SSU rRNA". It matches the Rfam family "Archaeal small subunit ribosomal RNA", at positions 1 to 1184 of the family's 1478-position model. The record is from RNAcentral.